UCCCCUCAAAUCUGUGCACACAACAAACAGCUACUGUAACUCUAGCACCUGUACCAGCCAGAAUGUCAUUCUGACAUCUGCUUCAACAUCAACACCUGUGCACCAUAUCAGACAUCCUUUUUGACAUCUGUAAACAGAACAACAUUCUGUAUUAGCACCUGUGCACUUCUUUGAAUAAUAGCUGUCCUUCUGUCCAGCCACAUACAACUUCCACAACAGCUUCCAUAUCAGCACUUCUCCCCCCUUUUUAGUCAAAAUUGACCAAAGGUGACCUUAUU
RNAcentral lists this long non-coding RNA (278 nucleotides) under Lathyrus oleraceus (garden pea). RNAcentral's name for it is "Pisum sativum (pea) long non-coding RNA (PSAT_LNC037390)". The record is from RNAcentral. Lineage: Eukaryota; Viridiplantae; Streptophyta; Magnoliopsida; Fabales; Fabaceae.